Molecule: long non-coding RNA, 821 nt
Organism: Triticum aestivum (bread wheat)
Lineage: Eukaryota; Viridiplantae; Streptophyta; Magnoliopsida; Poales; Poaceae
Exons: 3
Source: RefSeq, a predicted model, not a curated record
CAUAUUUUUGUCUAUUUGUUCUUCCAAGUUCAGGUUUUAUGGUAUUAUUGUCAUAUGAGGUGAAGUUGAUAUCCAUUACGAUACUCAGUUACACCACUGUCAUAAGAGGUGAAUUAAUAUCUUUGCUUUAAACAAGUUGAUAUCCGCCUCGUCCUCCCCGGCGAGCUUGCCUAGCAUGCCGUCUCCGAGGGCACCAAGGCCAUCACCAAUUUCACCAGCUAGAUAGGCCGUGUAUGUUUAUCGAUAGUUAGCUGCUGGAUUGUGCCCUGACUAGAUGUUGUCUUUUCAAUGGAACAACACAGACAUGUAAUUUCUGGUCUGAAGAAAGACAUGUUGAUGCUUGGAUGUUGGACGUGUUCUGAUGGUUUGAUUGAUGUUUGUUGAAUGCUUGUUGAUGCCGUUGGUUGUGAGAACUGAAUUCUGCGCCGAGCUGUCCCUUCGGAGUGAAAUGGCAGAGUUGCCUCGAGGUAUCUAAGGAUCGACUUCCUUCUCAAUAGUGAAAUUGCUUCUGUUGUUCAAGUGAGAGAAACAUGCAGGGAAUUGUUUGAAAACAACAUCAUCGCCGUCGGGAGGUUUACUGCGGGGAGUUUGGGGUGACCUACCUAUGCAUGGACUAUACCACCAGCGAGGCCCUCGCUCUGCGAGGGUGGGGAGCUCUUUGACCGGAUCGUUGUGAGGGGGCACUACACGGAACGCGCCACCACUGUGGUCACCAAAACCAUCGUCAGGGUCGUGUAGUUAAGAAUGGCCCCUGGAUUCCUUCAUUUGCCAUUUGGUUAACACUGUCCUAACAGUAUGCUGGGACACAUUCAUUCUAUGAU